This 458-nucleotide ribosomal RNA is filed under the name Oceanospirillaceae bacterium M17-C10. RNAcentral's name for it is "bacterial SSU rRNA". It matches the Rfam family "Bacterial small subunit ribosomal RNA", at positions 1 to 467 of the family's 1533-position model. The record is from RNAcentral. Lineage: Bacteria; Pseudomonadati; Pseudomonadota; Gammaproteobacteria; Oceanospirillales; Oceanospirillaceae.
UUGAGYUUGAUCMUGGCUCAGAUUGAACGCUGGCGGCAGGCCUWACACAUGCAAGUCGAGCGGCAGCACGAGAAAGCUUGCUUUCUUGGUGGCGAGCGGCGGACGGGUGAGUAACACAUGGGAAUCUGCCCGAUAGUGGGGGACAACGUUUCGAAAGGAACGCUAAUACCGCAUACGUCCUACGGGAGAAAGCAGGCUUAGGCUUGCGCUAUCGGAUGAGCCCAUGUCGGAUUAGCUUGUUGGUGAGGUAAUGGCUCACCAAGGCGACGAUCCGUAACUGGUCUGAGAGGAUGAUCAGUCACACCGGAACUGAGACACGGUCCGGACUCCUACGGGAGGCAGCAGUGGGGAAUAUUGGACAAUGGGGGCAACCCUGAUCCAGCCAUGCCGCGUGUGUGAAGAAGGCCUUCGGGUUGUAAAGCACUUUCAGCGAGGAGGAAAGCAGUAAGGUUAAUACC